Drosophila miranda is the source of this 819-nucleotide long non-coding RNA. RefSeq lists it as uncharacterized. Lineage: Eukaryota; Metazoa; Arthropoda; Insecta; Diptera; Drosophilidae. The transcript is spliced from 3 exons. The record is from RefSeq and is a predicted model, not a curated record.
GUUUUAAUUCAAUACAAGUUUUAACUAUAUUUCAUUGUUCACAACCAGAUACUUAUAGUUCACUGACAUAGAGACAUCACAUUUCAUAUUUUUAUCAAAUAAAUUCCAGUGUGUAUUCACGUCGUACCCUUAAGCUUCAGCUUCAGCACCUGUGACUGUAAGAACUACACAGACACAGAAGUGGAAACCGAACUCAAAAGCCCCUUUAUAGCCAUGACCACGCUAUUACCAAUUAUGUUCGCCAGCUGCGUGCACCUCGUUUUGCAAUUUUCGCUCGUAAGCCCGAAUAAGGACCAAACCUUCUAGGGCAGCCUUGUAUUAUUUCUAUCCGACUUACAUCGACUUACUACCCAAUAAAUGGUUCCGUAUGGAUGGGUAUGUCAAGGUAGUGAUGGAGACAAUCUAUGUCGCCCAUUUUUGUGAGAUUACCAUGCUCUUCUGGACUAAACUAAAGGGUCCUACCGACAUGGGUCAUCGACACAUCAUUGAGGCAGAUGGCACUCGUUUAUUUUAUCGUUUAUUGUUAUUCACCGUGAUGAUCUCCCAAGCAACCCAUCAGUAUUACGGACUCUAUAACUUCGUAUUCCGUGCUUGCGUCUUUCGGUAAUUGUGUUAAACUGUUGAGAGCUCCUGAAUAACAUAAAGCUCUAGCAACUAAAAAGAGGCCACAAGAGGAAUUUUGAAGAAUUCAAAGUAUUAAGGAAAAUUCUUAAGGCCUUCGUUUAUUAAAAUUUUUAAAUAUCCGUACACACUAAAGUAAAAAGCUCGCGGUCAAUGUAAACUGCUUUAAUGUUUAAUGCAGAAUAAAAUCACUUAUAU